GGAUGUGAGAGCAGUUUGGCUGCGACAUCCAUCACCCCAUUGAUCGCCAAGGUUGAUUCAGCUGACCUGGCUGGCUAUGUGGGUGUCCCCUUCCUCCCUCACCACUCCAUGAAAAGAAGAAAUAUUUUUUCUUUAUUUUAGAUAA
Molecule: small nuclear RNA, 145 nt
Filed under: Erinaceus europaeus (western European hedgehog)
Lineage: Eukaryota; Metazoa; Chordata; Mammalia; Eulipotyphla; Erinaceidae
Description: 7SK RNA
Rfam family: 7SK RNA (bases 1-108)
About the family: 7SK was discovered as an abundant small nuclear RNA in the mid-70s but a possible function has only recently been suggested. Two independent studies have found that 7SK RNA binds the CDK9/cyclin T complex (known as elongation factor P-TEFb). P-TEFb activates transcription by phosphorylating the C-terminal domain of RNA polymerase II.
Source: Rfam by way of RNAcentral